UCUUGUUUCUCAAACUCUCUCAAACUCUGCGAAACCCUACUACUUAUCUACUAUUUUCCAACGCCAUCUCACCGGAAUCCAUGGAUUUUCAAGCCAUGGAUGGCAUGUACUCAGCCCUCCACUCUUAGAUGUUUGAUAUUUGAAGUUUUGAGGUCUUGCCUCGAUGAGGCCUGUUCAGAUCUUCGCCGAUUCAAGGGUCCAUGGCCUCUCCGGCCUUGCUCCGACAUAUCCAAAGCAUUUCGAGCCUGGUUCUGACUCAUCCGACUCAAGAUCGGACCUUUUACGAGCCUUUCUCAUUCUAUUGUUCUUCUGAAACCCUAACCCUUCGAGGUUUUCUCCGAUUUUCUUUUAGAUCUGUUGUGUAUAUAUGCUAUACUAGAGUUUUUGAACGAUUUCCCCAACUUUUCUUUCAAAAAUUACUUUCAAAAUCACUUCUUUUCGAUUUAGGUUUUUCUGAAAAUGCUUAAAAUGUUUCUCGGUCUUUUCUUUUCCUUUUCUUUUUGUGUAGUUGUCUCUACUGUGUUCCUAUGUUUCCCUUUUAUCAUGCAUGUUUUAAUACUGUGUUCUCAUGUUUUCUGUACUUUCUUCUACUAUGUUUUCUAUGCUAUGGUCUCAGAUGCCUUUUCUAUAUGUUAUGCUAUAUUCUAAUAUGCUUCGCCUAUUUUACCCUUCUACCAUGUUCUUAAGUGCUUACUGUUUUCUCUUCUACUUUACCUUGUUUUAAAUUUAUUCUAAAAAGACAUGCUUAAGCAUGUUUUCCUCUACUAUUUCUCCUACUCUCAUUAUACUUUGAAUUAGUUUCUUCAUUCUGUUUGCUUUGAACUUUCUACUAUUUUUGCUUGUUCUCUCAUGAGUUUCUGAAAGAAAUAUCUGAGCCUGCUUCGACUCAUCUAUGUAUUUGACUUGAGGUGGAAACCCUAUAAUUUUGGGGUUCUGCCGAGGUUUGAUCGUGUGAUCGAACUAGGGUACUAUUUGAGAACCCUUGACUCUUUCAGACUAAUUUUUUGAGUCUUUGAAUUGAGUUAGGACCCCUUUGUUUUCAUACAAUUCUGUACUUUCAAAUUCUUCUAAACUAGAUUCUUUCUACUGAUUUUGCAAAAGCAUGACAAUCUUUCUUUCCCGUGUCUGUAUGCUUUUAUAUGUGACUAAUCUUUCUUCAAAAGGGUUUUCAAGCUAGUGAUUGAUUCAGAAUUCCUGUUAAAAGGUUUUAAUUGAUUGUUUGCUAAUUUUUCUUAAGUUAAAAUCUUUCCUCUCUUUCUGACUUGGUUCAUUCAUACAAAAUCUUCGACUUCUGAUUUCUUGGCUGUUAAUUAAUUCUUUCCUUAAAUGUUACAACCAUGUACUGUCAAGACCCUGUCCUUAAAUAGCCUUUAUAUAUUUACUUCUUUUGUGCUACUUUGAAAAGGUUUUAAUCCAAAUUCUUUCCUUAAUUGCCUUCUACCCUUUUGAAAUAAAAUCCCUUAACUGAAAGGAAAUUCUAUGUGAUUGAUUGCAAGUUAUUUUCUUAUCUUUCUUACUUGCUUCUCUGCACUAUAAAAGGGAUUACCCUUCCGUAUUUUUGACAAACGGACAAUUAAAUACUUUUGCAACACACUUUGAAUUGCAUACUCUUACACACACACUCUCAAUUCAGCACUUUACACACAUAAUCUCACAGCUCUCUUCUAAGAUCUUCUUACUAUUUGCUAGCAAUUUGGCUUUACAAGACUACUGCUUUCCUUCUCUUGUUUCCCUGAAGCUGGUAUGUUCUAAUUUAGUUUUCAGCCUCAACCCCGAUAUGUUUACUUGCAAGCUUUUAUGUCCAUGCCUAUAUUACUAUUUUGUAGAGUUCAACUUCUAUGAUAGUAUGCUUAUGUAUUGCUAUCUAUUACUGCAAUGAAUCCCAUUCCCCAUACCUCUUUAUGUGCUUGAGUUGUGGUUUAAGAAUGUUUACUUACAAGCUUUUAUGUCCAUGCCUAUAUUACUAUUUUGUAGAGUUCAACUUCUAUGAUAGUAUGCUUAUGUAUUGCUAUCUAUUACUGCAAUGAAUCCCGUUCCUCAUACCUCUUUAUGUGCUUGAGUUGUGGUUUAAGACAUGGCAAUACACAAAGUUAUUGUCCAUGGAUUAAAACUGGAUCCUUUGGAUCUUAGGCUCUUUAGAUUUCCCAUACCUCAUUCCCUUAUGUGUGUUGAAUUGAGGUACAGUAUGCAGAUCUUUGUCUAUAAAGUCAGCAACAUUUUCCUUAAAAUCAAUGCAACUUUAUUAGAUAUCAUGUCUUUAGGCCUUACUUAGGCAAACUAUUAGGUGAUUAAUUAACUGUGUCAGUCUUUGAUACUACAUCUAGACAAGGCUAAUUCGGACUCCUCAUCUGAGAAAUACGUGAUGAAUCAGCCUAUCCUACACCUUUGGGAUCUUGAGUUCCCUCUGAACUUCGACAUCUGAGAGCUAGCAUUUUCACACUGCACUAUAAUCUAAUUUUGCAAUAUAUUUGGGGUGUAAGAAUUGCCAGGAGCCCUUUGAGACUCUUGGGAACUUUGACACAUCCCAAAAAGAGAAAGGUUUUGGAAUCCGAUCUCGGAAGUUGGUUUGUCUCAUAUUGUUAGACUUUGAGUCUGAAUUAUGCUGUUUAGAUGUAGCUGGAACUUCUGAUGUAAUUUUACUUUUUUUUUAUUCAUUCGGGCCUGUAAUAAUUUGUAAAAACUAUUGGGGAUGGUUAGUGGAAAGGGAGGGGGAAUGAAUGCAUGCAAAGGGUAGAAAACCUGCCUAUUGUUUAUUUUCAAUUUUUGCACUUCUGCAUUUUGAAAACAUGCCUAUAGCCUUUUUGCACUUCUGCAUUUCUGCAUUUAGAAAAUAUGCCUAUAUUCUUUCUGUAUUUCUGCACUUCUGCAUUUAGAAAAUAUGCCUAUAGCCUUUCUGCACUUCUGCAUUUAGAAAACAUGCCUACAGUCUUUCUGCAUUUCUACAUUUCUGCAUUUAGAAAACAUGCCUAUAGUUUUUCUUCACUUCUGCAUUUCUGCAUUUAGAAAACAUGUCUAUAGUCUUUCUGCAUUUCUGCAUUUAGAAAACAUGCCUAUAAGUUAUUUUCUGCACUUCUGCAUUUUAGAGAUUACGCCUAUAGGAUCUGCAUAUAAAAUCAUGUCUUAGGUUCUUUUACAUAUACACGCCAUUAGACAAACAAUCUUAGGCUUAAUAAUAACCAAUUCAUUCUAGAUAUCAUGUCUAUAGGUUCUUGCAAUUGUUUAAAAUCAAUGAUGCUUAGAGAUCAUGCCUAUAGGAUUAAAUUAACUGAAUCAGUUUUGAAUCUAAGACUAGUCUUAAAGACCACAAAUCUUUGUUUAUAAAGUCAGUGACAUUUUCCUUAAAAUCAAAUCAACUUUAUUAGAUGUCAUGUCUUUAGGCCUUACUUAGGCAAAAUAUUAGGUGAUUAAUUAACUGUGUCAGUCUUGGAUACUACAUCUAGACAAGGCUAAUUCGGACUCCUCAUAUGAGAAAUAUGUGAUGAAUCGGCCUAUAUUACGCCUUAAUUCAAUUCACACCAAACCAGUACUUCUAAGUCAUGCUAAAUAAUGUACGGCUUUGAAUGAGGAGGCCUACUUGAGCCUUAACUGCAAUUUGUUCCUCUUUUAACUAUUAUUUGUUAUUGCUUGUCGCCUAAAUUUUUAUCCUUUGGAAAAACUCUGAAAAUCCUUAAUUCCCUACCUUUUAGGAUUAAUAGUCUCAAUGCUCCCGAGACUUAUAGGAUUGGGAUGGGUAAUAGCAUGCAAUAAGUAACGAUACCAUUCCGCGCUUUAAUACCUCAAUGGGGUGGAAGGGCAGAUGUGGAUAUGAUGACUGGUGCAAUUAUAUCACGUGCGACCCCUCUUCUGAGGAGUGAUUGAUGGAUAUUGCAUCGAAGUGAUCCAUAUUAAUCACAAACCUAGGACUUCUUUCCUUUACUUGCUUUAUCUCUUUUGUAGAACCCUUUAAAUCUUUUUUAAAUUCUGCCUUCUCUACUUACUUUCAAAAGUUUUCAACCAAAUUGCAAUGUUAUAUGCGAGUCCUUAUUUUAGCCUUGAUUGUUUACUUGUAAAGUCACAAUUGUAAUAUGGCCAGGACCACACUAGUGGAUCUUGAGGGGUGCCUAACACCUUCCCCUCGAAAUAACUUCUAGCCCUUACCCGAACUCUGGUUUUCCAACUCAAAACUCUCUUAAAGUGUCCUAAUGCGUUAUAAUCAUUAGGUGGCGAGUCUUCAACUUUUAAACCCAAUUCUCAAAAGGGAAUAGAGUUGUUCUCCCAAUUUUAUAUACCCUAUUUCGACCCAUGUUAGAAAAAUGGGGCGUCGACAGAGGCUGUAGAACCUUUAGGAAAAACUGCACAUUCUUGAAUUCUUAUCGUGCGUCCUUGAUUUAGCUAGAAAUGUACCUUUUUGAAUUCCUUCCACGAAUUCGUAUGCGCAUGAGUACUUGGUAUCAGCUAAGCAUUGACAGCUUGUGAUUCCUUGAUUGAGGGGUGAGAUGUGAUCUCUGUAUGUUGAUGUUGGGCCAACCUGAAGGACUUGAGGUCGCGUUUUGCUUGUAGCUUGAACACUGAGGCGUUGAUUGUAUGAGCACGUGAUUUUAGAUUUGUAUGUCCGAUAGUGUCCCUAUUAGUGGAAGUAAUGGCUGGAUGACUAUGUGAUGAGUAUGAUGUGUCUUGAUUUUCAUUGUGAUUUGAUGUAUAGCUCGAGUUGUUGGCGUGUUGAAGGACCUUUCCAUGUUGCCUAGCUAGAAAUUAAAGUAGAUUUCUUGUUGCGAUACAUGUUCAGACUCAGAAAGAUUAAGUGACUGUGUAAUAUUUAUAACGGCGGAAGGGUAUAAGGAGAUGUUAGUUUGAGGCGAAGCAGGUGGGUUAUCUCAUGUAGAGUGUUCUAAAUUUUGUGUGAUCCUUAUGAUAUUUGUUGGAAGAUCUUUGUUACCAGUGAAAUAUAUGUGUUGCAAUUUGAAUUUGGGUCGCUUAAGAGAGUGGGCUUGUAUAUUACGAGGGUGAAUGUAAGAUUUGUAGAAGAUUUGGAGUACUAGAUGGGCUGUGUUGCACGAGAUUAUGAAAGAUUGAGUUUAAUCUCCCUCUUGUAUUAUGGCAGUAAUAGAGUAUAUUCAUUAUGAGUUAUUGUGUGUUUCGAUUUAUGGCUUUGAUCCAAGUGGGGGAGUAUGCUAUUAAUUAGUUGAUUUCAGGGUUAUGUGCUAUAUUGGUUCCAGUUUGAGGCGUAUUAGUGAAUUAGUUAUGGAUUACGGAGGUUGUGACCGAGGAUGGCCCGAGUAAAGGAAAUUUCAAUAAAGGUUAUGUUAUGCUUUAUGGGUGUAUGAGAAUCAUGGAAUGACUUGAGUUGUUAUUGGUUAAGGAUGUACAGUGCACAAAACAUGAAGUUGCUUGGUUUCAUACGUUCAUUAAGGUGAGGUUACAUUCUGCGGUAUCAGAGUGCUAAUGGAGCACAGGUCGCCCGGUUCAUUUGAUCGGUCUAAUUACGAUUUUAGUAGAGUGGAUGACUCUCGUGAAUGGUUCAAGUGGGGUUGAAUAUUUUACAUGUAAUAAUUGGAGAUUUUCAUGUUGUAUAUUUGUCUAGAAACUGAGGUUUGCAUUGGAGGGUCUCAAGACUUGUGGCAUUUCUAUAUCAAAAUGGUUUAAGGAAGUGGAAUUAGUUGUUGCUGAUUUGUUGAUUUGCAUUACUCAACUGCUACUGAUUCUUCCAUUCUUCUUUGCUUUAAUUUACCCAGGUAAUUCUUGGCUCUAAUUAGCAUGUGAAGCGUAAAAUCUGAAGCCGUGCAAUCAAGAUGGAAUUCAAGACACAUUUUUGUUCACUGAAUGUUGUUCCAUGUUCUAAGAUCCUGCAGUUCUACAGUAGUCUAAUUAUUUAUAUAUGUUUAUUUGUUCAAUUAUGAUUUAGUUUGAAUAUUUCUUGUAAUGUCUAGGUAAAUACUCUAAUUUAGCUCAUUGAAGUUUUAGAUUACUUGAAGCAUGUUAUGUGUGUGGACUAUCUGAAUUUACUGCAGCAAAGACUG
RNAcentral lists this long non-coding RNA (5996 nucleotides) under Nicotiana benthamiana. RNAcentral's name for it is "long non-coding RNA (NBEN_LNC003905)". Lineage: Eukaryota; Viridiplantae; Streptophyta; Magnoliopsida; Solanales; Solanaceae. The record is from RNAcentral.